This 537-nucleotide ribosomal RNA is filed under the name uncultured bacterium. RNAcentral describes it as "bacterial SSU rRNA". It matches the Rfam family "Bacterial small subunit ribosomal RNA", at positions 774 to 1308 of the family's 1533-position model. The record is from RNAcentral.
AGGAAAUAGAUACCCAGGUAGUCCACGCCGUAAACGAUGAGCACUAGUUAUUGGGGGUAUUGACUCCCUCAGUGACGCAGCUAACGCAUUAAGUGCUCCGCCUGGGGAGUACGGUCGCAAGACUAAAACUCAAACAAAUUGACGGGGGCCCGCACAAGCGGUGGAUUAUGUGGUUUAAUUCGAAGCAACGCGCAGAACCUUACCUAGGCUUGAACUCCUACGAACCUCUUGUAAUGGAGAGGGUGUCCGCAAGGAAAUGUAGUGAGAGGUGCUGCAUGGCUGUCGUCAGCUCGUGUUGUGAAAUGUUGGGUUAAGUCUCGCAACGAGCGCAACCCCUAUCGUCUGUUGCCAGCAUUAAGUUGGGCACUCUGACGAGACUGCCUGGGUUAACCAGGAGGAAGGUGGGGAUGACGUCAAGUCCUCAUGGCCCUUAUGUCUAGGGCUACACACGUAAUACAAUGGCGCGUACAAAGGGAAGCGAACUCGCAAGGGGGGUCAAAUCUCAAAAAGCGCGUCUCAGUUCGGAUUGAAGUCUGC